GAACACGCCAUUACCGUCGCAGUUACCGUAAUUACGCGAUGACGACCCGGACGUUCUACCCGAAGCUGUUCACAUCCUCGGACUCUGAAUUAAAGUGCAUCUGUUAUGCUUUUUCAAAUAUUACCUUUCACGUAGUGUGUUAUACAGUUUUUUAAAAAAAAAAACGCGCAAAAGCGCACGACAAACGGAGUUAUUGAAUCCUGAAAGAAGGAGCCGAUUCUGAACAGCUGAAACGAAUUCGUUAGUAAUUCCAGACUUACUUCCUGUACUAACCUACGUAGGUUUGUAACAAACAAACAAAAAAAAUCCUGCCUGUCACUGACAACAGACUGGGACAUCUGACCAAUCCGAGCAGAGUAUGCUCUCUGGAACGAGUCGUUCAGAACCAGUCGUUCAGAACCAGUCGUUCAGAACCAGUCGUUCAGAACCAGUCGUUCAGAACCAGUCGUUCAGAUCGUUUGUGACACUGGGGGGGGUUAAAUUAUGAGCACGAUAAAGUGCUUUUUGACCUCGGAUGCACGUAAAUCUAUUAUGAGAGCUUUAAAAGAAGAUUAGGCACAUUUCAGAACCAUAGUAAGUGCACUUUAAUGAAUCCGUACGUUUUAGACGACGAUGUUGACGGCCGCACGAUUACGUUAAACUGUAUCGUGUGUGUGUGUUUUUUUUGUUUUGUUUUGUUUUGUUUUUUUUUUACAUUUAUUUUUAUAAGAUUAAUCCUGCACUUUGAAGACGUUAAGAAGAGUCAAUGAUGCGAAUUAUUACCCAGAAACAUCACCAGAUAACUUCUUAACUACAUUUUACCACCGCCGCCAUUUCAGACGUUUCUAAUCUUCCAGAACGCGUCUUUUAAAAGGACUAGCGACGCAUCCAUCCAGGGGUUUUAGUUUACGUUACUACAUUUACCUUGCGUACGUUCUAUGAUCAUGUGACGUACCGAUAAUCAAGCCAUACUCUCUCUCUCUCUGGAGCUUUGUAUGUUCUUCCUGUUUGUGGGGUUUCCUGAAGGUUCGACAGCUUCCUCUCGAAAGCACGCCAGAAGGUGGAUCGAUCACGCUAAUUGAUCGUAUUUACAAAUUGAGCAGAGUGGAAGUACCUCAUUAUCUGAAUAAACAAACAAAUCCCAGCUUUCUCGUACAGUUCUCAAACAUCGAAAGGCGGUGGAAUGAUCCGGAACGACCGGGGGGGGGUGAAGCGCAUCAUCAUGUAGAAGCAAAUAGAAACAGCGGUGACGCCGUUUUGUACCGGAACCCGGAAGUUAUCAUCACACCGGUUCCCUCGACAGAAACCCAAUAGGAUUUUCAAAUCAUCUUCACAACUUGUAUGAAGUUUGAAGCCUAAAUCCAAUCUCCAGAACAUCUAAACCGUACGCUAUAAACGAGCUACACCACGGUCGCUCGACUUCAACGUCUCCAUCACCGAGCUUCCGAGAACUUUCCCAAACUUUAUUUAAAACAUUUUCCAUAAUACGGAUUUACUCUGUGGAUGAAUCUUCCCCCGUGUGUUUUGGGGAAUUGUGCACAGCAGACCUGAACCAGUUUAUCUGCGAAGUGUUUUCCUGCUCGGCGUGAUGACGUUUAAUGUCCCCGAUAGCCUCUGCGGUCCCGUUUAGCAACAUGUCAGUGUCACGAUUUCCCCUCGCGCACGCGCUGGAGCACAAGCAAAGCAAACCUCGUUUCCGGGUUUUAGCGUUACAGAAUGACGUCAUCCCUGCGCCGCUCUAUGGUGACUGGCUGUACGUUUAAGUAGCGCUUGAUUUGAUGUGCAGCGGAGUUUUCUAUGAGCAGAGGAUGAACUUUAAACGUCAAUAUCGCAGUGGAUCAUUUCCACGUAAUCCUGGGCAGUCAAAACCCCUAGUGAGGAUGCAUGUUAAGGAAACGAAUAGGUGCGCGGUGGUGUAGCACGUCACAGCUCCGGUGUCGCCGGUUCAGUCCUGAGCUCGGAAUAGUGUGUGUGUGUGUGUUUCCCCCACUUACGUCCAUGUGGGUUUGCUCUGGGUUCCUCUGUUCUCCCAAAAACACGCCAGGAAAGUGGAUUCGUGGGGUAGGCUCUGGAGCCGCCACACCCCAGGUCUUGACUGAGUGAGUGACUGAGUGAGUCGAGUGAGUCGAGUGAGUCGAUCGAGUGAGUGAGUGAGUGAGUGAGUCGAGUGAGUGAGUGAGUCGAGUGAGUGAGUGAGUGAGUGAGUCGAGUGAGUGAGUCGAGUGAGUGAGUGAGUGAGUCGAGUGAGUGAGUGAGUGAGUCAGUGAGUGAGUGAGUGAGUCGAGUGAGUGAGUGAGUGAGUCGAGUGACUGAGUGACUGAGUGACUGAGUGACUGAGUGAGUGAGUGACUGAGUGAGUCUGUGACUGAGUGAGUCUGUGACUGAGUGAGUGACUGAGUGAGUGAGUGACUGAGUGAGUGAGUGACUGACUGAGUGAGUGACUGAGUGAGUGACUGAGUGAGUCGAGUGAGUGACUGAGUGAGUGACUGAGUGAGUGACUGAGUGAGUGACUGAGUGAGUGACUGAGUGAGUCACUGAGUCAGUGAGUGAACGCGGACUUCAGGUGUUUUGUAAGUACGUUAAUCUCUUGGCUUAGAAACAAAUGUCGGACACCAGGCUCGUCUUAUUUACUCCAUUUGUUCCUCCACAUAUACUGAGGGCGAUGUCUUUUGCAGACCCCUGUGCGAAUAGUGAUCGGACUGCCACUAUUCCUGUAUUUGUACUGUUCAUUUUCUACACGAUCAGUCGAGAAGCAGGGCGGUGUCUUUUUAUUUUAUGUUUUUUUUUUUUUUUUUUUUUUAGUCCUUUCAGAGUAGAAUUAAUCGUUUGUAAACCCGUUCGCCUUCCCCCUGAGCAAGUCAAGUCCGAACCUGAGCGCUGUCGGUGAGCGAGCGAAGACGAGUCAGGACGCGUGGAUGCGUUCGACUCGUCAGACUCGACGGUCCUCGACCGUGCCCGAGGGGAAGCCGGUGAAUUCGGUAACUCGGGCUAAAACAUGCACGUCUCUCUGGCAGCGACGGAGAGCCUUUCGCAAACCCGUACAUCUCGCGUCCUGUCCCACUCGCAGCGUGAGGUGUGUCGAGAGCGAGGCUCGCGGUGAGUCGUCUCGGAGCCCUGCGGUUCAUAACGGCUCUGCUUCCACGUGGAGAUUAAUACUGUAUCCGUGUGCCGUAAAACCGUGCGCAAACAUCACGCUCGUAAAAACCCAGACCGCACAAUGAAGCCCUGGCUGUUCUAGAUGGAUCUGUCAUAAAGUUUUAAACACACACACACACACACAUGCACAAGAGGCCAAGGGAAGGGAGUGUUUCUUUCUUUCUUUCUUUCUUUUAAUUGUGAAGCUGACUGCACUUUGAUCUCUUACUGAUUUGUUUAGCGUGACCUGCGGUUAUAAUCAUCACCUGCUCUUUUACCUUUACUGAACUAGCCGUGUCAGCGGUCCGACUCCACAAGAUUGGAAUCGGAUUUGGAAAAUGUUCGGAACUGGAAAUGUUUACGUAUGGAAUUGUAAAAAAAAAAAUUUUGGGUUUCCGAUCGAUUUUUAGUUCGUGAUAAUCCACGGCUCGGUGUUCGUCACACAAUUUUAACGCACGACGCGGAGACGGAGAACCGCCCAACGUGGAGCGGAGCGCUUUAAAACGCUGGUACGCGCACCUCGCCGUAGAUUAUCCCGCCUUUACCCCGUCCGCCUCCCAGCGGUGGCGGGUUGCAGCCGGCGUCGGUGUUCGCUGUGCAAAAUUUGACGGGAAGGAUCAAAAAAGACGGUCGAUUCUCGUUAGUUAUUUUACGUACGGGUCGUUAGAUCUAGAACUCCGCCCACUCGAAAUCAUACAGAGAGACAACGUAGUGCGAUAAGAUGACUUUAUUUAUUUAUUUAUUUAUUUUUUUAAAGAAUUAUAAUAAAUAGUUAUCAGAGAUAGAAAGAGUGAAUUCCCGGUGUCUGUUCCACGUCUCUACUGAUAACAGUGAAGCUGUGAGUGUAACUACUGUAUGUUACUAUGGUUACAGUUGUUUACUGAUCGAGAACGGCGAUGAAACUGACCGGAACCACCUGUGCGUUAUACUAGGCCCGUCCCGAUAACGACUUUAUCGAACGAUCAUACGAUUAUACGAGCGUGACCUUCGUCGCGUGUUUGUUUACACGAGAAUGACCGUCACCGCGUCACGUCCGGCGAGUAGAGACGGACGCACACGCGGUUUCAGCGGUUCAUUAUUGGCGAGGCAGGGCAGCCAGACAAAUCCGAAUUGUGACCCAAAAAUCAGUAAACGGAACUCGGGUACAGGUCGGGCGAUCAGCGGACGGGUUCGGUGUUCACAGCAAGGCCGGUUUUCACAUGUUUUAUUCACAAAUAUUUAAAUAUCCGGUUGAGUUUUUCCGUUUCCUUGUCAACUCAGGGUUUCCGUAUCGGUAAGCGGUGGCGUUCUUUCUCAAACCUUUCGGACCUAGAGUACCGACGAGAAGGAACUCCUUUACGGUAACUCGGUUAAAGCUCUCACCCUCCUUUCUUCCUCCAUGUUCUUUACGAUGUCCCUCCGUUUCCAUAAUUACAGGCUCAGCUCUCGUGUACAUGUCGUGCCCGAUGCUGUUGGAAGUGGAAGUCCCGCCUCCGGUGCAGCCGCAGGCCACUGGCAGAAAAUAGCCGAACCCUUCGUGACAAACGCGCUAUCCCGAGACUCCUCAUUGUUGCUCGUGACCUUUCCUGACCCGGAGCCUUUUUUUUUUUCUUUUUUUCUUUUCCCCUUCCCGUGAGCCAGUCAGUAGCUCAUGCUGUGAUCUCUACACGUCUGUACUGUGCCAUGACCGAAUCCCGAUUCCGCAGCGACCUGCUUGUAUCAGACCUCUGGCUAAUGAUUCAUCAUGACCCGAGAGCGUGAAUGACUUUGUAAGAAAGAUCCUUCUCUGAAUUCUGGUUUAGACGACGUCGGGUCUGUAGAUUGCUUUAUAAAUAACAGCCUGUAGUUUUGUUUGUUUUUAUACGUAUAGUUUAAGUGUACAUUAUAUCUUGGUAGGUUCCAAAUUGGUCGUACCUUUCGAUAGAUGGUCCUUCUGCUCAAUAAUUUUAUGUAAACAGUACCUCUGGGUGUAUUAUAAUACAGUUAAUGCUAGAUCAAGCUAGCAUACCUUCAUACCUGUGCGACUGUGUUUGUUUAUACAGACAGAACAUCUACUGUUUCUCGGAGGCCCUGACUCUACAGCCCAGGAUACACGAGUACGGCGGGUUUCCGGGAUUUCACAACGUGCGUCAUUUUGCGCAUUUAAACUACGCCAGAGGUUUGACCCCGAGAGUUAAUUUAGUCGAAAUAAAAACGAUUUAUUCAUGAACAGUAAAACACCAGCGCCGUCCAGAUCAGAGAUUUUUUGUAUUACCGAUACCGAUUAUUUGCACGUUUAUGUGCCCAAGAAUUUAGUCGAUUUCACUUCCUCGGUGUUUACAAAACCAAAAAAUAAUUCUUAUUCAUAACAUCGAUAAAUAAAGGGGUCUGAAAGAGCGCGAAAAAUGUAAUAAAAAUAAAGCGCUGUUACUAAAGUGUGUAUUUUAUUUUAUUUUAUUUUUUUAAAUAAAAGCUUAAAAAAAAAUAAAAGCAGAUUACGUGAGUCUGAGUUUGUCUGUAUUUCUUAGCGCCGAGCUGCUUAAACUAGCCGAACAUAUAUACAUAAGCGUUUACACGUAACCCGUCCAAUUUGUGAAUUAACGUUACGUUAAAUAAAGCGCAGUUCUCGAAACGCCCACAAGAUGGCGAGCCGUUUAUCGCCGGAGCCGAUGUUACAAAACCCAUAUCCGAUUAUUGAAAAACGCUGAAAUAUCAGCAACACCGAUUAUGGGGUCGAUGUCUAAUCCAGAUCCACGUGAUAAACGUUAUAAACUGUUAGGGAAAAGUGUUUGUUUUAUUGCAGAUCAGUUUUUAUGCUUCUUAGUUCGACGGUAAGAGUUUCGGUCAGACUCAGCUGGAUGAGGUUUGUUUACUGUUUGUAAAUACUUCAUUGCGUGUGUGGUUAUUUUUAGCGAUGGAAAUCUUUAUUAGGGUAACAUUACUCGGUACUCGGACUCGCUGGGAAAUGCUGCCGCUGUAUUUUGUCAUUGAGUCGGGGUGUGUGUGUGUGUGUGUGUGUGUGUGUGUGUGUUUUGGUUUUAUUUGAAAAGGUCAUGCAGAUAAAGCGUUUGUUGACUCUGUGUGGUUUCGUGGUUUUACGGUUCAAUAAGGAAACGUCUGAAGCUUAAAGAGUUGAGUGUCGUGCUCUUCGCAGUCAGUCACACAGAACAGACUCGGUUUCAGUACAACCAGGUGUAUUUACCUACACACGCCUUGCCUGAAUAAUGCUGCGUUCACUCCUCAUACACCAUUUUUAAAAAAGCAUUUAUUUAUUUAUUUUUACCGGUCGCUGUAAAAUGAAGUCGCCAGGCAGGAGGCGGUCCUACUCCUGGUUGCCGUAGUAACGUUUAUCCGCGUGUGGCGCGACUGGCAUUCCG
Molecule: long non-coding RNA, 6449 nt
Organism: Ictalurus punctatus (channel catfish)
Lineage: Eukaryota; Metazoa; Chordata; Actinopteri; Siluriformes; Ictaluridae
Source: Ensembl